Heterocephalus glaber (naked mole-rat) is the source of this 1171-nucleotide long non-coding RNA. The record is from Ensembl. NCBI's taxonomy places the organism in Eukaryota, Metazoa, Chordata, Mammalia, Rodentia, Bathyergidae.
AUUGGACCCAGAACUUUACGCCCAUUUAAAAAACAAAUUUUUUUUUUGAAAUAGAAUCUCACUAAGUUGACCAGGCUGACCUCACACUUGCAGCCCUCCUUCACAAGUAGCUGGGGUUACAGGCAUGUGCCACCAUGCCCAGCAAGGCUGCUGCUGACACUAAUGAAGAGAAGCAUCAGUCUCGCAACUGUGGUGUCAUUAAGUCAAGCACGAUCUUUCUCAGAGUGACCCACAGAGCUAGAACUCUGGAGCUCAAGUGAGGAAACCAGCCUAGUCCCACCACAAGGUCACAGUGCUCAACCAGGGGGCGGGACAAAGGAGAUGGACAGCCCUGCCUGACAGCAAGCCACUUCUCUUUCUCUGACAGCCCAGAGCAAUCGUUUCAUGUGAAGCCGCCUUGAUGGCACGUGUCUGCUUCACAUGGUCAAAGACAUGGGAAAGCAGCUGAGCCACUGGGGAAUUAGUUCCAGGAAUGUCACUAAAGUUAUCAGACUGGGAACAAGUCUCUGAACCAAGACCAUUUUCUCAGCUUUUGGAGGAGUCAGCGCCCUGCCACAAAAUUGAACAGUAGGGAGAUACUGCCUUCCUCCUAGCAAAUCUUCAAAAGAAAUGUUUGAAUGAUCCUCACUGUUGGAAAGAGUUUGGGGGAAAUGGGCAUUCUCAUGUAUGCUGGUAAAUGGACCUAACUACCUGGAGAACAGCCUGACCACAUGGAGACAGCCAAAGAGACAUGAAUGCCAGACGGUGUAGAUCCAAAGGACCUCUCAUCUAUGGCUGGUGGAAGUGUAAAUUGAGUCCCUAGAGAAAUACUCGCCUCGAACAGCUGAAGAAUUCUGGAUUAUCCGUCAAGAUAUAGCUCAAACAUCAGCUUCUGUGGAAAUGCUUCCCCCACUUUGCCAAGCAACAAGCCCAGCUUCACCUCUUCGGUUCCUGAUUAAUAAAUGAUUUGUGUACCUAUUGCACUGCCUCUCUGGCUGCCAGAGCUAAGCUCAGCGGUCUGUGCACCUUUGGGUUUCCCCUCUUCCUAUCCCUCUCCCCAUCAUCUCUUGCCCAUGUGCCUUGCCCUUAUGACUGCCGUGUGGUCAGUGCUAAUUAAAUGUUAAUUUUGGAACACAGAGCUAUAGGGAUUUUGGGUAUGACCUACUAGAAAUCCCAGAGCUUAGAAUCAAAC